Molecule: ribosomal RNA, 495 nt
Filed under: uncultured bacterium
Lineage: Bacteria
Description: bacterial SSU rRNA
Rfam family: Bacterial small subunit ribosomal RNA
Source: RNAcentral
AAAGGAAUUGACGGGGGCCCGCACAAGCGGAGGAACAUGUGGUUUAAUUCGAUGAUACGCGAGGAACCUUACCCGGGCUUGAAAUGCAGAGGAAUAUAGUGGAAACAUUAUAGUCAGCAAUGAUCUCUGUGUAGGUGCUGCAUGGUUGUCGUCAGCUCGUGCCGUGAGGUGUCGGCUUAAGUGCCAUAACGAGCGCAACCCUUAUCAUUAGUUACUAACAGGUUAAGCUGAGGACUCUAAUGAGACUGCCACCGUAAGGUGUGAGGAAGGUGGGGAUGACGUCAAAUCAGCACGGCCCUUACGUCCGGGGCGACACACGUGUUACAAUGGGAGGUACAGAGGGUUGCUACCACGCGAGUGGAUGCUAAUCUUAAAAAGCCUCUCUCAGUUCGGAUCGAAGUCUGCAACUCGACUUCGUGAAGCUGGAUUCGCUAGUAAUCGCGCAUCAGCCAUGGCGCGGUGAAUACGUUCCCGGGCCUUGUACACACCGCCCGU